AAAGAAAUAAAACUAAGACCAAUGAUAGUUUACGAAGCAAAGAGCCAAACUAUCAAAACAACACAUAAAGUUAAAUAGGCACAAAAUGAACAAAGGAGUGAAUAGUUGAACCUUAGAAUAACAUAGUCGGAUUUUUAUUGAAGCUUCUAGAAGCACACAUGGAUUUCCAACUAGGAUACAGUCAGAGCUGGCGAACUCAAAGCGGGACCGCGAACGGGACUCAAACAGAAAACCAAUGCUAGUACUUUGACAGGUGGAAGACUGAGCGACUCUCGCCGGAGAAACUCGAAUCUCGCCGAUGAACUCGAAUCCGACUCGACCUAGUGAACGCUGAAAACUCAAAAAAAAAACUGACCGACUUCUUUCUUUUUGGAGUUCGCUGGUGCGCUUGCUAUUGGAUUAUGGAUUUUUAAGGUCCCUUUAAUGGUGGGAAAUGGGUGUUAUCAAUGCUUUUUCUUUGUGUUAGGAAGAAGAAGAAGAUCAUCCCAUGGCCAUGCUUUUGUGAAGCUAAUAAAGCUUAGUCAUGGCUCUACACGAUGUUUUUGAAAGGGAAAAUGAUGAUGAUGAUGAUAUGGAUCCCUAAAUAAAGAAAAUGCAAUUCUUUAAAACGGCAGAAACAAAAAAAGUGUUGGGUUGCAACAAGCAGUUGGGCGGCAACAGCAAGUUGCAAAACCAAUUUUGCUAAAGUUGGUUUUCUGGUGGAUUUUGCAAAUUGAAGAUAUUAAUGUUUUGAUCGGUUAGAGCCGCUGUGACUUCUCCUGUGAAUUGAAGUGUUCAGCUACAUUUCAAGUACA
This 794-nucleotide long non-coding RNA is filed under the name Nicotiana benthamiana. RNAcentral's name for it is "long non-coding RNA (NBEN_LNC007799)". Lineage: Eukaryota; Viridiplantae; Streptophyta; Magnoliopsida; Solanales; Solanaceae. The record is from RNAcentral.